AACAUCAUACGGAUUUUUUCCUACUUCGAUCCGCCGUUAUGCGUUGUCGCAAUCAACAGUGUUGAAGGGAUUGUCAAGAAAUCGGUCCAGGUAUGUUAAAGCUAUCCCUUCUCUCUUUUUGGCAUGAUCUAUAUGACACGAACAAAAUGAGAAAAUACACAAUUUCCAUAAAUGACUCUAUUCAUAGAAAUACUAGGGGUGUCUAUAUUCUUGAUUUUCCCAUGUGGAUUAUUAUUAUAUCUUUUAUUCAUGGGUCUCAGAAAAAUACGUAUUUGAUAAAGUUUAUCCGAAAGGAAUAUGGAUUUUUAUGGCAUUCCGAGAAAAUCUUAUUAACGUAUUUCUUAUGCAUUUCAUGAAUUUAUACAUGUACAUUGACCCAUGACCAGAUGGAGUUAUAUAUGUAUAUAUAUGUGUAUUAUAUUUAUAUGGGAUAUGGGAAAAGGUUACGGCGUUAUAUACGUACCACCACCUGAUCAGCUGGUAUACGUUGAUUAUUUGCCCACAGUGGCCGAGAUGAUAUGAUGGGAUGCCCUCAGAGGCUGAUGAUGUUAUGAAACAUGUACCUAUGCACGACAUGACAUUCAUAUGCAUAUGCCUGACACUAUAAGUAUUUCACGAUUUAUAGAGUUAUCCAAACUUACAUGGAGUACUCCAUGUUUCUCUCAUGUCUAUUAUUUACUAAUUAUCAUUCUUACAUACUCGGUAUAUUAUUUGUACUGACAUCCCUUUUGCUUGGGGACGCUGCAUUUCAUGCCCACAGGUCCCGAUAGACAGGUUAAGAGUCCUCCAAGUAGUUUAUCAGCUCAGCGAAAGAUGUCGGUGCACUCCGUUUGCUCCGAAGUUGCUUAUAUGAUCAGUAUAAUUAGGACAUGUAUUAAUUAGUAUGGUGGGGCCCUGUCCCGAUCUUUAUGGUAUUUAUGUACUCUUAGAGGCUUGUGGACAUAUGUCAUGUGUAUGAAAGUUUGUACNN
Molecule: long non-coding RNA, 970 nt
Filed under: Nicotiana tabacum (common tobacco)
Lineage: Eukaryota; Viridiplantae; Streptophyta; Magnoliopsida; Solanales; Solanaceae
Description: long non-coding RNA (NTAB_LNC003551)
Source: RNAcentral